CCUACGGGGGGCUGCAGUGGGGAAUAUUGGACAAUGGGCGAAAGCCUGAUCCAGCCAUGCCGCGUGUGUGAAGAAGGCCUUCGGGUUGUAAAGCACUUUCAGUGGGGAAGAAAGCCUUGGGGCUAAUACCCUCGAGGAAGGACAUCACCCACAGAAGAAGCACCGGCUAACUCCGUGCCAGCAGCCGCGGUAAUACGGAGGGUGCGAGCGUUAAUCGGAAUUACUGGGCGUAAAGCGCGCGUAGGCGGUCUGAUAAGCCGGUUGUGAAAGCCCCGGGCUCAACCUGGGAACGGCAUCCGGAACUGUCAGGCUAGAGUGCAGGAGAGGAAGGUAGAAUUCCCGGUGUAGCGGUGAAAUGCGUAGAGCUCGGGAGGAAUACCAGUGGCGAAGGCGGCCUUCUGGACUGACACUGACGCUGAGGUGCGAAAGCGUGGGUAGCAAACAGGAUUAGAUACCCCUGUAGUC
Molecule: ribosomal RNA, 465 nt
Filed under: Vreelandella stevensii
Lineage: Bacteria; Pseudomonadati; Pseudomonadota; Gammaproteobacteria; Oceanospirillales; Halomonadaceae
Description: partial 16S ribosomal RNA
Rfam family: Bacterial small subunit ribosomal RNA
Source: RNAcentral